GUGUUUCUCUUGUAAAAAGCCAAACACUUAAGAGUUUGAGUGUUUCCUCUUGUAAGCAAAAUACUAGGAAGUUUGAGUGGAGCUUGGACAAAACCACUUGGUGUAAAAGUGAGCUGAGCACUUAGAAAUCAGCCCCCACCUUGUAGUUGCGGAUUACAAAUAGUGGAAGAAGAUCUUGCGGAGGUCUUGGGAGGACAUAGAUCACGGAUUAUGAUCGAACCUCGGUAAAUCUUGGUGUGCUUUCUUCUUCAUUAUCAUUAUUGAUUCACCAUUGUAUUUGGUUUAUCUUAAGAUUGUAUUAAUUGUCAAUUAACUUUAAUUUACUAAUUAUAUUUGAAAAACCCAAUUCACCCCCCCUCUUGGGUUGCCUAUUAGACCAACAAU
RNAcentral lists this long non-coding RNA (384 nucleotides) under Actinidia chinensis (golden kiwifruit). RNAcentral describes it as "long non-coding RNA (ACHI_LNC001995)". Lineage: Eukaryota; Viridiplantae; Streptophyta; Magnoliopsida; Ericales; Actinidiaceae. The record is from RNAcentral.